UCCAGUGGCAGCAUUUUGAAGGAUUAUGCAACUUUCUGGGCUGACAUAACUUCCCGAGUUGGACAGUAAAACUUACUGCCAAACCUUUGGGGUUUGGAAAGUUAUGGAAGGAGUAAUUAAUUAUACGUCUUAUCGACUCAGAGAAAGAUCGGGUACAUUAACCUCCGCCAUACUUCUUGAGAAUCAGAGGAUGUAAGAUUUCUUGCUAUUGACUAAUAUUCCGGCCAUGGUCAUCAUCAAGGAAGAUAAUGUUUUGUGUCGUGAUGAAAAUGUGUAUAUUAAAAAGAAAAA
Long non-coding RNA from Belonocnema kinseyi, 291 nucleotides. RefSeq lists it as uncharacterized. The record is from RefSeq and is a predicted model, not a curated record. The transcript is spliced from 2 exons. NCBI's taxonomy places the organism in Eukaryota, Metazoa, Arthropoda, Insecta, Hymenoptera, Cynipidae.